CACCCCCUGGGCUGAAGGCAGACACUCAAGGUGUCUGAGCCACCCAGGUGGCACUGAGGGUGACUUCAUCAUGAACAUAACAUUCCAGGAAGCCAUCCUUCUGAAGACCAGCUUCCUUUGUUUGUAAAAGAAGACUGGGAAACUUCUCUUCAGGAUUCCUUGGUUUCUUUCUCCCCUUUCAGUUUUUAACUGUGUGUUGCAUUUGCUUGGAGCAGGGCCCCUGUGUCAUAUGUAUUAGUUUGCUGCCAUCACUAAGGAUGCUCUACAGUAAGGGAGAUGAAGGGUAUGGAGAAGAAAGGCUUUGGAGCCCUACAGACUUUUGACAUUCUGGGCUGUAUCCUGUCUGUGUGUGCCAUGUGGCCUGGUACACAAUGUAGGUGGCUCCAGGUGGAUCUGCUGGACCACUGAGCAGAAGCUGCAAUAUCCAAGGCUUUGCAUUACUGGGUCAAUUUCUUGUUCAAAGACCUCAGACAGCUUGGAGCAGUAUUUGUAUACCCGUGAUGUCUUUCGAUUAUACAACCAGGCAUUGUUGAACAUAAGCCAAAUGUCAUCCACAUACUGCCAGGGUUCCUGAUACUGUCCAGUGUCUAACUUUCUCUUGAUGGUAGAAAGGUCCAUGGGGCUCUUCACAAUAUCAAAGUAAUCCUAGAAGGAGCCAGCACACUCCUCCCUUGAGAGAAGUCCUACCUGUGCCACAAAUGCAUCACUAGAGUCACAAGAAGUUCUAGUCCCAACCUAGUUGCCUCCAGGAACAGAGAGCCUAAGAGACCUACUCUUCUUCUUUGACUGUCCUGGGGCUGGAGAAGACUGGGUAGUUGAAGUACUUGGCUGGUCUUCCUCCUCUUUUGUUUCAGCUUUUAAUUCAGUGCCUCUUUCUUCUGUUUCUGUAGGUUCCAUUUUACAGUCCUCUGCUUUAGUCUGAAAGACAAGGUCAACAUUUUUAGUAUUCCAAAGACUUGCCACCAGAAAGCAACAAGAUUAUUAUCUUAUUUACUCUGUCCUGUGGACAUAUCUAAAGACCCUUCCUCAUGUGGAAAUCAAUGAAAUGAGACCUAAUUAUCAGAAUGCUAAACUGGUUCCUAGACUGAGGUCCUAACCAACAGCAGUCCUUGCCCUGCUCUCACCUCUGGAAUAUCCUCUGGCUGAGUAUCUGCUGGUUCUGGUGGAUCCACUUCCAUCUUAGCCUCCAUUUUCACUUCCUGUGAAGGCUGCUUCUCAGGAAUGGUCUGAGAAUUGACUUCUGUGCUACUAGUGGAUGGAGGGUUUGAUACCUGCCCUUCAAUGCUUACAGCUGGCUGGGAAAGCUGGGCAGAAAAAGGGAAAAAACAAAAAGUUUGCCAAUGAUACAACCAGAGUUUAAGCUCCACAAUAGGACAGCAUCAUUUACCCUCUAUCUCUGGACUUGAAUCAUUAUAUUCAUUUAUUGUGCUUUCUCAUACUUGGACUAUUUCAUGUCCUUGAAGUAAACUGUGCUUCAGCACAGGAGCUUGAGGACUUGCAACACUGGCUGGCUGACUAUACACAGGAAAGACAGCCAGUUUCUGCACUAGCUGUGUGCAAUGUGUGAGGGGUAGGGUCUUAGAGAUGACUGCCUCAGAGGAGAAACAAAGAAAAUAAGGAUUGACUAUUUGUUUUAAGUUUCUGAUGGGAAAAGCUGCAAAUGUAUAGAAAAAGUAGAGAGCAUAUAAUGAACUCCCACACUGAGUAACUGUUUUGAAUCAUGACAUUCUAAUGGGAUAACUAGCAAUCUCUUUUUCCUAAGUCAUCCAAUAAGAAACCUCAUGAGUAGUUAGUAUUUUUAGGAACUACCCUAAACAAAAGUUUCCUUUCUGCACUCUGCUAUUUCUUGCAUAUCAGAGGCUGGGAUGAACCAGUUGCUAACUUAUGAUGUUUUAUGAAGUAGCUAUUGACUCAAGGGAUUUCUCUGUUCACCAACAUGACAGAGAAAUAAAAUAUAAGUGAGCAAAUAAAAAGUCCUGAGCCUUGACAUACAGAAUUCUAUUGAGAAUUCUAUUAGUAAGGAUGCAACUAUUAGAUGUGAACUUGGAUUUCUCCUAUGUACAUAAUGAGCCUCUCACAAGGAAGCUACUGACUGUUCCAGGCCCAUACUUUUCUCAUUUUAGGUCAUGAUUUUCAACCUUAGGACCACAGACAUUCAUAAACCUAUAGUUUUGUUCAUUCACUCUCAAGUAUUCCACAGCUCAGUUUGAAAGAAAUUAUACAUAAAUGGAAAAUUUAUGUGGUGUACUAAACAUACUAUGGAUUCUUACCCCUUGUCACCCUGCUUAUAUGCCUUCAAGUCUCAGAACACAAUUCAAAAGAUACAAUGGUCAGUAUCAGACCUAAGCAGAAUCUUUGAGCUCCCUCUAUGCUAGGUACUAUAAUGGGAAGAAAGAAUAGGAAGGAAAGGAAAGUCCCUAACUACAAAGAGAUUCUAGUUUAACUGGAGAGACAACACAAUAUAGAACAGAACUGGCAUAUAAAUAAUCUAACAUUACAGUACAAUUUGAAAAGAUUCCCCCAAACCCAAGUAAGUCUGUGCUUACUGGAGUUGCAGGCUGCGGGGGCAGCAGCGGCGCCGUCGGGGUGGGAACAGACGCUGCUGUACUCUGCUGUGAGAGAGGCUGCUGCUGUGGCUGGUCAGCUGAAGGAGCAGGAGGAAGUGAAGGCUGAACUUGAGGAGGAAGCUGCGUUGGUGGUGGUGUGGGUGUCUGCCUUGGAGGUGGAUGUAAAGCUUGGGUCUGUGGCCCAGGUGGCAUGGCUGGAGGUGUAGGAACAGGGGCUGGAAUUGCUGUUGCUGGUGGCUGCUGAGCCCCUAUGCUUGGGGGAGUGUGGUGAGGCGUGGGGGUGCGACUAGGUACCGGGGAGGGUGAAUUCUGAUGCAGAGCUGAUUGAGGAAGAGGGGGACAGUGAAUGUGGCUCCCUUGAGACCCUGGUGGCAUUAUAGGAGAGUUCACGGGGCAGGAAGAACUGGACAUUUGUGCCUGUGUAAUGAGAAACAGAAUAAGAUGGCAAUUCAGAACACAAAAGAAAUAUUUACACAGCUAGACUAUAUGCAAUAUGCUUUCUUUUCAAAAUGUUUCAAAUAUCCUGUUAUUGGGGGCAUAGCUUCAGAAAAAAAGUUCACCAGAAUGGCUUCAGCCACUGCAGGGGCACAGGACGGUGGAGUACACAGUAUUUUCUGCCUGGCUCUGCUCUCUUGAGCCACAGUUUGUUCUUCUGCACUAUAGCUCUUAAGAUUUCAUUUUAGGAAGCAUUCAAUACUAUAAAAAAAUGGUUACAACUAUCAAUUUAAUCUCUUUCCUAGUUUGUAGCAAUUAGCAGCACUGCUAUGUCACAAAAUAAUCUCUUCAUGUUCAGAGUACCAUUAUGUCCGUAACUGCUCUUUUUACCUUUUUUACAAGAUUUUAUUUAUUCAUUCAUGAGAGACACACCAGGAGAGGCAGAGAUAUAGGCAGAGGGAGAAGCAGGCUCUCUGCAGUGAGCCCAAUGUGGGACUUAAUCCCAAGACCCUGGGAUCACGACCUGAACCAAAGGCAGACACUCAACCAGGCAUCCUUUCCAUAACUGCUCUUAUUAAAACUUAAAAAUCAUCUAUUUUCACCGAUUAUUUGCUGCCACUUUUUCCUGUAAAAACCUGUAUCGAGAGACAUUUAAAAAAAUCACAAAAACAAGUAAACAAAACGAAACAAAACCCAUCUGUGAGACCUACUUGAGACACUGGUGCUUGGCCGCCAGUCGGAGCCAAAGGCAUAUUCGUUACAUUCAUCCCCUGUGUUGAGAACUGAGUCUGGGGAAGGAACUGGCUCUGGCUGGAAGGCUGCUGCAUGCGAGGCCCAUAGCCCAUAGGCUGCGGCUGCAUAGGGAAAGGAAAAAACAAAACAAAACAAAAAAACACAUAACACCAAUUGCUUCAUUAUGGUUAUUCUACUAUAGCUAGAAUCACCAACUGCUCUAGCUCUGCUGAGGGGAAAGCAGGGUAGGAAAAGAAGAAAGCAUUCAACCCCUGGACUCUGAUGCCAGGAUUUACGCCUGACUCAAACCUACUCUAAAGCAAUUCCAGGAGCUUACAGACAAACCAAUUCUCCUGAUACACAAAUGCACCUGACAAGGUACAGAGAUAACUGCUCUUUGCACACUGUUAAGUGACAGUGAACUACACCUUUAUGACGUCUGCUUAUUUCAUGAUAUUAUAAUAGCACAAACUGUAAGACUGUAUACUUGGUAUAAUUAAAA
Canis lupus familiaris (dog) is the source of this 4236-nucleotide long non-coding RNA. RefSeq lists it as uncharacterized. The transcript is spliced from 6 exons. Lineage: Eukaryota; Metazoa; Chordata; Mammalia; Carnivora; Canidae. The record is from RefSeq and is a predicted model, not a curated record.